AAGUCCACGGGGCCCAGGAAGUCCUGGCAGCCCAAUUCCUGGUGGUCCAGUUGGACCAUCAUGGCCCUUUUCACCAGGAAGUCCUGGUGACCCCUUUUCACCUGGGAAGCCAGAUCCACUGUCUCCCUAGAGAACAAAGAAAAAGAGACUGAAAGGUCAUUUAAAGACUUGUCUGGAAAGGCUUCUAACCACAGUAACAAGGCCUGUAUGACCUCUCGAUCCAAAUAACCCCUGAGAAAGAAACAAAUGGCAAUAAUCAGGAGAUGCAGACUUCCUAGAAUCCUGGUGCUUAGCGAAGAUAUGACCUAAAGAAAACGAUUGAUGGGGAGUGAAGAACAUUUAAAAUCCUCCAUUCCCCCCUCUGUACCCAAGUUAAUUAAGACUUACUGGAGUCCCUGCUGGGCCAGGUGCACCCCUAGAGCCUGGAUCUCCUCUAGUCCCUUUAAUACCAGGUAGGCCAAUGAGACCUUGUGUCCCUGGCAGGCCUGGUUCCCCAUGUGGUCCAAUGUUGGGGGCACCACCUUCACAAGUGCAAAACCCAGAGUCCCCUGAAGGAAAAACAGACAACAAAUAAACAAAUA
Peromyscus eremicus (cactus mouse) is the source of this 581-nucleotide long non-coding RNA. RefSeq lists it as uncharacterized. The transcript is spliced from 3 exons. Lineage: Eukaryota; Metazoa; Chordata; Mammalia; Rodentia; Cricetidae. The record is from RefSeq and is a predicted model, not a curated record.